CCGACCUUAAAGACUUGAAGAAAAAAAAAAAGGUUGCUACUGCUCCAUCGGAUUUCAACUCUGAAAUUUGAAAGUCUCUCAUCUCUGAAUCAAUUUUGGUUUUCACCUUCUGUCCGCACUUUGAAAUGGUUUGAAAGUUUGUCAGUGAUUUCAGAUUUGGGUGUCCUGGAUAUUAGGAGUUGGUGUCAGUUGUUCAGAUUGUAUUUCUCUGGUCUUUUUGAACUGUUGAGUCUACUGUUCCAUUGAAUUUUGGAGUCAUUUUCUGGGUUUUAUCAUUGGAUCUAUGGCUGAUUGUUGACGUGUUCAUGCCAUGCUGAAGUCUAGAUGUUGAUUUCCCCUUGUCCACUUAUUCAUAUCAUUUCAGGUACACUCUUCUGUAACCAUGCUGGCUGUGAAAUAAAUUGGAAAAAAAUGAAUUGAAAUGAAGAUGUUGGAGCAUGAGAUAUAUUUCAGCUUGUUGGAAUAAUUUGCUUAAUUGACAUGGCCUUCCGUUUAUCCUAUGUUUGUAGUUGGUUUGUAGCUAUUGUUAGAAAUGGUUUAUGUAUUAGUUUCAUUUCAUCGACUCCC
Molecule: long non-coding RNA, 567 nt
Filed under: Nicotiana benthamiana
Lineage: Eukaryota; Viridiplantae; Streptophyta; Magnoliopsida; Solanales; Solanaceae
Description: long non-coding RNA (NBEN_LNC037037)
Source: RNAcentral